Glycine soja is the source of this 109-nucleotide non-coding RNA. The record is from Rfam. NCBI's taxonomy places the organism in Eukaryota, Viridiplantae, Streptophyta, Magnoliopsida, Fabales, Fabaceae.
GAGUGUCACAUCAUCAUGCCUUGUCACAGACACUUCAUUGUCACGUCAUUGAGGGUGAUAACGUGACAAUGAGGUGUCCAUGGCAAGGGGUGAUGUUGUGACAUUUUGU